CGGGCGGCGGGCGGCGGGGCGGGGCGGGCGGCGACCGCGGCCUCAGCGCGGUCCCUGGAGCGCCCGCCGCGCGGC
RNAcentral lists this non-coding RNA (75 nucleotides) under Pan troglodytes (chimpanzee). The record is from RNAcentral. Lineage: Eukaryota; Metazoa; Chordata; Mammalia; Primates; Hominidae.